RNAcentral lists this ribosomal RNA (486 nucleotides) under uncultured bacterium. RNAcentral's name for it is "bacterial SSU rRNA". It matches the Rfam family "Bacterial small subunit ribosomal RNA", at positions 28 to 524 of the family's 1533-position model. The record is from RNAcentral.
GACGAACGCUGGCGGCGUGCCUAACACAUGCAAGUCGAACGAGAUCCAUGGGAGCUUGCUCCCGGAAGAUCUAGUGGCGAACGGGUGAGUAACACGUGAGAAACCUGCCCUGGAGUGGGGAAUAACUCGGGGAAACUCGAGCUAAUACCGCAUACCCUCGGAUGGUCGCAUGGCCGACCGAGGAAAGAUUUAUCGCUCUAGGAGGGUCUCGCGGCCUAUCAGCUAGUUGGUGGGGUAACGGCCUACCAAGGCAACGACGGGUAGCUGGUUUGAGAGAACGAUCAGCCACACUGGGACUGAGACACGGCCCAGACUCCUACGGGAGGCAGCAGUGGGGAAUCUUGCGCAAUGGGCGAAAGCCUGACGCAGCAACGCCGCGUGCGGGAUGACGGCCUUCGUGGUUGUAACCGCUUUCAGCAGGACGAAAAUAGACGGUACCUGCAGAAGAAGACCCCGGCGUAACUACGUGCCAGCAGCCGCGGUAAU